UACAGAGGGUGCAAGCGUUAAUCGGAAUUACUGGGCGUAAAGCGCUCGUAGGCGGAUCUUUAAGUCGAUUGUGAAAUCCCCGGGCUCAACCUGGGAAUUGCAAUCGAAACUGGAGAUCUAGAGUAUGAUAGAGGAAAGUAGAAUUCCCGGUGUAGCGGUGAAAUGCGUAGAUAUCGGGAGGAAUACCAGUGGCGAAGGCGGCUUUCUGGAUCAAUACUGACGCUGAGGGGCGAAAGCGUGGGGAGCAAACAGG
This 253-nucleotide ribosomal RNA is filed under the name uncultured bacterium. RNAcentral's name for it is "partial 16S ribosomal RNA". It matches the Rfam family "Bacterial small subunit ribosomal RNA", at positions 524 to 776 of the family's 1533-position model. The record is from RNAcentral.